GAUGAACGCUGGCGGCGUGCUUAACACAUGCAAGUCGAACGGGAAACCUUUUAUUGAAGCUUCGGCAGAUUUAGCUGGUUUCUAGUGGCGGACGGGUGAGUAACGCGUGGGUAACCUGCCUUAUACAGGGGGAUAACAGUCAGAAAUGGCUGCUAAUACCGCAUAAGCGCACAGAGCUGCAUGGCUCAGUGUGAAAAACUCCGGUGGUAUAAGAUGGACCCGCGUUGGAUUAGCUGGUUGGUGGGGUAACGGCCCACCAAGGCGACGAUCCAUAGCCAGCCUGAGAGGGUGAACGGCCACAUUGGGACUGAGACACGGCCCAGACUCCUACGGGAGGCAGCAGUGGGGAAUAUUGCACAAUGGGGGAAACCCUGAUGCAGCGACGCCGCGUGAAGGAAGAAGUAUCUCGGUAUGUAAACUUCUAUCAGCAGGGAAGAUAAUGACGGUACCUGACUAAGAAGCCCCGGCUAACUACGU
Molecule: ribosomal RNA, 477 nt
Filed under: uncultured bacterium
Lineage: Bacteria
Description: partial 16S ribosomal RNA
Rfam family: Bacterial small subunit ribosomal RNA
Source: RNAcentral